This 373-nucleotide ribosomal RNA is filed under the name uncultured bacterium. RNAcentral's name for it is "bacterial SSU rRNA". It matches the Rfam family "Bacterial small subunit ribosomal RNA", at positions 527 to 898 of the family's 1533-position model. The record is from RNAcentral.
GGGGGGGGCAAGCGUUGUUCGGAAUUACUGGGCGUAAAGGGCUCGUAGGCGGCCAACUAAGUCGGAUGUGAAAUCCCCAGGCUCAACUUGGGAACUGCAUCCGAUACUGGAUGGCUUGAAUCCGGGAGAGGGAUGCAGAAUUCCAGGUGUAGCGGUGAAAUGCGUAGAUAUCUGGAGGAAUACCGGUGGCGAAGGCGGCAUCCUGGACCGGCAUUGACGCUGAUGAGCGAAAGCUAGGGGAGCAAACGGGAUUAGAUACCCCGGUAGUCCUAGCCCUAAACGAUGAAUGCUUGGUGUGGCGGGUAUCGAUCCCUGCCGUGCCGAAGCUAACGCAUUAAGCAUUCCGCCUGGGGAGUACGGUCGCAAGGCUGAA